Molecule: RNA transcript, 839 nt
Organism: Oryza sativa Japonica Group (Japanese rice)
Lineage: Eukaryota; Viridiplantae; Streptophyta; Magnoliopsida; Poales; Poaceae
Source: RefSeq, a predicted model, not a curated record
AGUCUCCUAAAUGUGUAAUACAUCUGGUCGCCGCCUUCGAGUGGUUUGACGGGCACAUCUCAUACUGAAGUUGGCUGGCAGGCUAAAAGUCAAGCAAUGUCUCCAAUAUUCUUCUCUCAAGGCAUCGCAUCGGAUAUUUCAAGAGAGCCUACGUUUUAGAGGCGCCAUUCUCGGCACCGGCGAGAGAAGUCCUCGACGCCAUUGCUAACCGCCAAUCUCCGGGAACGCGACCACGUCAACUCGGAACGCCGUCGCGUUCUGGACACCGCCGCUUCGCCUUUGCUCGUCGCCCGGCUUCCACAGUCCACCAUUGGUCAAGCCAUCUCGCCAUCAUCUUCACCAGCACCCAUUGACCAAGAAUCCCGAAGGAAUAGGCACGUGGUGAACCAUGGUGGGAGAUCUCCAUCUUCUUCCCCAACUCCGGCCGCCCACGCCAUUCCUCUCUUCUUCCUUCUCUGAUCAAGACCGGAGGUGUACCGCCAACGACAACCGUAGCCGCUGCGCCGCUGCCAGACCAGCUCUCCAUCGCCAAGACCGUGCUGAGCCGUGUUCGCUGCUUGAUGUCUACUGUGUGGCAACCACUAGGCUAUUCCGGAGAUUAUGAGGAAGGAUCAUUGCCUCACAUCUUGUGGCUCAUGCUGCAACAUCUUGGCCAUAACCACCCACCGGAGUAUCAUUUCUUUUCUCUUGAACAGAGUUCAUCUCUCCGAGCUUAUAUGGCUGAGCUGUGUAUACAAGGAUUUUGGACCCAUGAAUCACCCAUUUACUUUCAAGCUUAUGGUUGGGAUGCACCCUCAGCAAUGCAUGAGGCCGCAUUUCAAGCGAUUGUGUAUUAUCGA